Molecule: ribosomal RNA, 721 nt
Filed under: Paenarthrobacter nitroguajacolicus
Lineage: Bacteria; Bacillati; Actinomycetota; Actinomycetes; Micrococcales; Micrococcaceae
Description: bacterial SSU rRNA
Rfam family: Bacterial small subunit ribosomal RNA
Source: RNAcentral
GGCUCAGGAUGAACGCUGGCGGCGUGCUUAACACAUGCAAGUCGAACGAUGAUCCCAGCUUGCUGGGGGAUUAGUGGCGAACGGGUGAGUAACACGUGAGUAACCUGCCCUUGACUCUGGGAUAAGCCUGGGAAACUGGGUCUAAUACCGGAUACGACCAUUCCACGCAUGUGGUGGUGGUGGAAAGCUUUUGUGGUUUUGGAUGGACUCGCGGCCUAUCAGCUUGUUGGUGGGGUAAUGGCCUACCAAGGCGACGACGGGUAGCCGGCCUGAGAGGGUGACCGGCCACACUGGGACUGAGACACGGCCCAGACUCCUACGGGAGGCAGCAGUGGGGAAUAUUGCACAAUGGGCGCAAGCCUGAUGCAGCGACGCCGCGUGAGGGAUGACGGCCUUCGGGUUGUAAACCUCUUUCAGUAGGGAAGAAGCGAAAGUGACGGUACCUGCAGAAGAAGCGCCGGCUAACUACGUGCCAGCAGCCGCGGUAAUACGUAGGGCGCAAGCGUUAUCCGGAAUUAUUGGGCGUAAAGAGCUCGUAGGCGGUUUGUCGCGUCUGCUGUGAAAGACCGGGGCUCAACUCCGGUUCUGCAGUGGGUACGGGCAGACUAGAGUGCAGUAGGGGAGACUGGAAUUCCUGGUGUAGCGGUGAAAUGCGCAGAUAUCAGGAGGAACACCGAUGGCGAAGGCAGGUCUCUGGGCUGUAACUGACGCUGAGAGCGAA